ACGAACGCUGGCGGCGUGCUUAACACAUGCAAGUCGAACGGAAAGGCCCUGCUUUUGUGGGGUGCUCUAGUGGCGAACGGGUGAGUAACACGUGAGUAACCUGCCCUUGACUUUGGGAUAACUUCAGGAAACUGGGGCUAAUACCGGAUAGGAGCUCCUGCUGCAUGGUGGGGGUUGGAAAGUUUCGGCGGUUGGGGAUGGACUCGCGGCUUAUCAGCUUGUUGGUGGGGUAGUGGCUUACCAAGGCUUUGACGGGUAGCCGGCCUGAGAGGGUGACCGGCCACAUUGGGACUGAGAUACGGCCCAGACUCCUACGGGAGGCAGCAGUGGGGAAUAUUGCACAAUGGGCGGAAGCCUGAUGCAGCAACGCCGCGUGCGGGAUGACGGCCUUCGGGUUGUAAACCGUUUUCGCCUGUGACGAAGCGUGAGUGACGGUAAUGGGUAAAGAAGCACCGGCUAACUACGUG
This 467-nucleotide ribosomal RNA is filed under the name uncultured bacterium. Its description in RNAcentral is "partial 16S ribosomal RNA". It matches the Rfam family "Bacterial small subunit ribosomal RNA", at positions 29 to 507 of the family's 1533-position model. The record is from RNAcentral.